Molecule: small nuclear RNA, 107 nt
Organism: Balaenoptera acutorostrata (minke whale)
Lineage: Eukaryota; Metazoa; Chordata; Mammalia; Artiodactyla; Balaenopteridae
Source: RefSeq, a predicted model, not a curated record
GUGCUUGCUUCAGCAGCACGUAUACUAAAAUUGCAAUGAUACAGAGAAGAUUAGCACGGCCCCUGUGCAAGGACGACACACAAAUUCGUGAAGAAUACCAUAUUUUC